This is a long non-coding RNA of Phoenix dactylifera (date palm), 239 nucleotides long. RefSeq lists it as uncharacterized. NCBI's taxonomy places the organism in Eukaryota, Viridiplantae, Streptophyta, Magnoliopsida, Arecales, Arecaceae. The record is from RefSeq and is a predicted model, not a curated record.
UACGCCAGCCUACCACGCAUAGAGACGAGGUUGUACAUCGAGCAUUACGGAGGUGCAGAUGUCGUUUGGAUUGGCAAGACCCUCUACAGGAUGCCACGCGUGAACAACGAUGUGUAUCUGGAGCUUGCCAAGUCCGACUUCAACCGAUGCCAGGCACACCAUCAGGUGGAGUGGGAAGGCCUUCAGAAGUGGUGCGAGGAGAGCGGCCUGGCGAAGCAAGGGGUGCGAGCGGGCCGCGC